Long non-coding RNA from Pangasianodon hypophthalmus (striped catfish), 1326 nucleotides. RefSeq lists it as uncharacterized. The record is from RefSeq and is a predicted model, not a curated record. The transcript has 4 exons. NCBI's taxonomy places the organism in Eukaryota, Metazoa, Chordata, Actinopteri, Siluriformes, Pangasiidae.
UUCUUUCAUGGACAAUAAAUAACUUAUUAUAGAGAGCUGCUUAAACAGAUUAGGAAACGUGAUGUUUCUUUGUUAAAUGACUUGAUGUUAGCCAUGUACCACACCCUAAAAUUUUCCUCCAUAUCCAUCCAUCCAUCCAUCCAUCCAUUUUCUGUAGCUACCACUUAUCCUACAGGGUCGCAGGGAACCUGGAGCCUAUCCUAGGGGACUGGAGACACCCUGGAUGGGGUACCAACCCAUCGCAGGGCACAAUCUCACACACUCAGACACCACAGACAAUAUGGAAAUGCCAAUCAGCGUACAGCUCAUGUCUCUGGACUGGGGGAGGAAACCAGAGUACCCUGAGGAAACCCCCGAAGCAUGGGGAGAACAUGCGAACUCCACACACACAGGGCAGAGGCGUGAAUCGAAACUCCAACCCCAGAGUAUACAUUUCACCUCAAGAUGGCACCAUCUGCAAACAUAACCUUCCCAUACUCUCCUCUGGGUUUCAGUUAGGUCACAGUGGAUCUGGAGCCAAUCCCAGGAACACCGGGUGCAAGACAGGACAUACUCAAACACUUCUUCACACCUGGUGACAAUUUAGAGACAUCAUUUCUGUAGUACCUGGAGGAUGACCACAGAGACCCAGCGAAACCAGGAGCUAACACAGUGAGCACAAUGUCCCUGUCUGAGGCCCCACAUGUGUCUGGACGGGAAUGCCUUUGGAGGGGAAGGGGAAAAGGAUGGAAAGCUUUACACGAAGUUAUUAUUCUUUAUUUAGGUGGGAUAGUUUCCAUAUGUAUUGACAAAUAGUCAAUUCCCUGUAAAGAAGUUAGGGACGUUGAUUAUUUGGACAUCAUAUGACAUGACUGCUGCAUUAAACCAUGGGAUAAUGUGUUAAAUUAUUAUUUUUAUCAUCCUUGAUGGACUGUGUUAUUUUCUAAUAAAAGCACAUCUCAAACAUACUCAUUUCACAGCAGUUUACAAAUGAUUACAAUUUUUUACAUUUAUUAAAGAACAAUACGCUGUUUUUUUUAAAAAUCCAUUUAUAGUUAUUGUUAAUGUUGGGGUCCACAAACAUCCACAAAACAAGUUCAUUCUUUCUAUCACUUAUGUUUCAGCAGCUAUAAACAGCUACAAGCUAUAAAUUCACCAGCCUCUCAUUUGUUCUCUCUCUUAAAGUUAAUAAGACAAAAAAAUGCAGCUUGUCAUAUCACCCAGAAAGUACAAAGCCCUCCAUCCUGAAGAUGGAGCUCUGACAAAGCACUGACACUGGAGACUCAACGUGCCAAAUGUGCCAAAUAAACAUUUCUGCACAGAAAAUAUUACUAUAUCAACAAUUAC